Long non-coding RNA from Anguilla anguilla (European eel), 1951 nucleotides. RefSeq lists it as uncharacterized. The transcript is spliced from 2 exons. The record is from RefSeq and is a predicted model, not a curated record. Lineage: Eukaryota; Metazoa; Chordata; Actinopteri; Anguilliformes; Anguillidae.
UCUCGUCCGUUCCCGAGACUCACCGCGCUCCCCCUCCCUCACAGGCACCGGCACAGGCCACACGGGGCUGAAAGCUGCACCCCUAAAAUAAACCCCCCCCACCCCCCUUUAUCCCAGCCCACCCACAGCCAGAAUAUCAAACGUCUUCCCCCAAAAUGUCCCCUAGCGUCUGAGCUAGACGCUGUUCAUCCAACAAGGUAAAUACACCUAUUGACUCUCACCUGGUUUCUCUUGAUAUUAGUUAUAAGUUAAAUCUCUUGUGAAUGUAUAGUGUCUUCUGUAGGAAGUCAGCAAGUGCACUUCUAAUGAGUGCCCUUUACCUGGUUUCUCAGUGAGACCAUAGGUGUACUUCGUGACCUUCACUGGGUCACUCUUGGUACUAAAUGUCCCUGUAGGUGACCCUUACUUGGUAUCUUGGUACGAAAUGUCCCUGUAGGUGACCCUUACUCGGUCUCUUGGUAAUAAAUGUCUCUGUAGGUGACACUUACUUGGUAUCUUGGUACUAAAUGUCCCUGUAGGUGACCCUUACUUUGUCUCUGGGUAAUGAGAUGUCCCUGUAGGUGACCCUUACUUGGUCUCUUGGCAAUUAGAUGUCCCUGUAGGUGACCCUUACUUGGUCUCUUGGUAAUGAGGUAUCCCUUCCCCUGGUUUCUGUUGGUAACCGAGCCACUUUCAGCCCUGCUUGCUUAUGGCCAAAGGUAAGGUGAUAAUGGGUAAUGGAGGUUGUCAGAGGUCAUGGGUCAGUCUGAGAGCUGCUCUCACAGCACUGGAGCAAACACUGUCGUGCUCGUUUUGUCGGCAGGGGACAUGGCGUUGAUUUUAGCAACGGCAGCAUUCGGUCAUGUGACCCUGAGCUUACAAAGCUCUCCUUGUGUGAGCCCGGUGGCCAGAGUGGAGCGAGUGUCAAUCCAACCGCAGCGCGUGCAGUGUUUGCUCCAGGUCUCGGCCCGCAUGCAGGAUGUGACGGCCCAGCGGCCUCUGGGGCCCGGCCUCUAAAAGCCGAAAGUGGAGCCGCUCCGAGCCCCAGCGUAGGGGGGCUGCUGUUGCAUCCUGCAUGGGCUGCAGGGCGUUUUUACACUACAAACCUAGAGCCACCCGGGACCCCUCUAGCUACUUUCUAGUGGCAUCUUUUCAAACCAUAAUGUAAUGUAGGUAGGCUGUUAAAAAAAACAUCGAUAUUUGUGUCAUUGUAGAUGGGGAAGAUAUGGGCUGUGUAAUAUCUAAAGACAGACAUGAGUAAUACUGAGUUUUACAUACCUGAGGGGUUCCUAUAUGUCUAUAUAUAUAUACAUAUGUGUGUUUUUAGGGGGUUUACUGUGAAAGAAAAAAAGGUGAAAGCAUGAACAUAAAAAAGGGUACAUGUGGUGUUUUUAUAAAAAAAAAACAUUAGAAAACAUUUUAAACCUUUCGGUCACUUGUGUGUGAAACUGGAGCUGGUUACGAUUGACGGGCAGAACAGAAAAUGGCGUUAGGAGUUGCGUGUGUCUGUGGAAGUGCAGGGAAGUUGGCAGUUACAUGCCUUCCACUGUGAGUGUGUAUUGUUUGCACGUAUGUGUGUGAGAGUGAGUAAUGCUUUCACCUUUUGCCCCUUUACACAGGUAAGAAUGGGGGGUGGGGGGGAGGGAGGGGAGGGAAGGGUUUGGGAGUGCAAAUGUUUUUUCUGUCUUCUUGAACGUUUAACAUGCUGUCGCAUUUAUACGCUGCAGGUUACAAAGUGCGCGCCAUGUAAGCACAGCAGUACUUUUACAGUCACAGCCCUGAGCUGGGAAGCGUAAUCACAAGAGGGGCUCUUAGAACCAAAUGGGGAGAGAGAGAGAGAGCCAGAGAGCUCAACAUGAAGUGUGUCUGUGUGUUUAAAAUAAAAAAAUUCAACAACAACAAAAAAAAAAAACAAUGUACUUUUCAAAGCUGAAAUGUAACCAAACUUUUUUAAAAAUAUAUAUAUAUAUAU